GAUGAACGCUGGCGGCGUGCCUAAUACAUGCAAGUCGAGCGAACGGACGAGAAGCUUGCUUCUCUGAUGUUAGCGGCGGACGGGUGAGUAACACGUGUAUAACCUACCUAUAAGACUGGUAUCACUUCGGGAAACCGGAGCUUAUACCGGAUAAUAUUUUGAACCGCAUGGUUCAAAAGUGAGAUACGGUCUUGCUGUCACUUAUAGAUGGAUCCGCGCUGCAUUAGCUAGUUGGUAAGGUAACGGCUUACCAAGGCAACGAUGCAUAGCCGACCUGAGAGGGUGAUCGGCCACCCUGGAGCUGGGACACGGUCAUGACUCCUACGGGAGGCAGCAGUAGGGAAUCUUCCGCAAUGGGCGAAAGCCUGACGGAGCAAGGCCGCGUGAGUGAUGAAGGUCUUCGGAUCGUAAAACUCUGUUAUUAGGGAAGAACAUAUGUGUAAGUAACUGUGCAGAUCUUGACGGUAACUAGUCAGAAAGCAACGGCUAACUACGUG
RNAcentral lists this ribosomal RNA (497 nucleotides) under uncultured bacterium. RNAcentral describes it as "partial 16S ribosomal RNA". It matches the Rfam family "Bacterial small subunit ribosomal RNA", at positions 28 to 507 of the family's 1533-position model. The record is from RNAcentral.